Molecule: long non-coding RNA, 2023 nt
Filed under: Carassius auratus (goldfish)
Lineage: Eukaryota; Metazoa; Chordata; Actinopteri; Cypriniformes; Cyprinidae
Description: lncRNA (ENSCARG00000004379.1)
Source: RNAcentral
UUACUGUCACUUUUGAAAAAUAUUAACUUCCCAGGAUCACAAUUUUGAUUGUAAACUGUUUACAACAUGGAUAAUUUAUUUUAUUUCAUUCUGCACUAAAUCUGUAAAUUCAAAUGAUUACUGAAGGAUCACACAUUCCAUUACAUGAAUUACAUUUUAAAUGAUAUUAAAAUAGGAAAAAGUUAUUUAGUUGUAAUAUUAUUCCACCAUAUUCUAGUUUUUACUGCAUUUUUCAUAAAAGUAAAUGCAGCCUUGGUAAACAUAAGAGACGUCUUUCAAAAAUCUUAACUGCAAACUGGUGUGGAGCAGAGUGAGCUGUGUGGUCAGUGGUCAACCAGGACCUUUCACCCCAUGUUCAGAGUCUGUGGCACCUUCGACUCUAAGAUACAGGUGUGAAAAAUUACUAUUCUAAGACUGACAAAUUGAUAUUGAGUUGAAUUCUUUGAGCUCAAUAUUUUGCCUUGACCCAAUUGAGGCCCUAAAGCUCGGUCGCUGUGACCAUUUUAAUGAAUUUCUGUAGCGGAAAUGGGCCACGGGUGAGGCGGGCAGGGGCUUUGACGAGAGCGUGUGCACCUCCGGGAGCAUCCCUCUCCUUCAACCUCGCCUCAUUAGUCUAACUGGGCAGUUACAGAGCUGUUGUGUGUCACAUCUAUUUUGGUCCCCCUAAACUCCAAAGUGGCCCCUCAACUUAUCUUCCUGUAUUCUCCAUUUCCCCUCUCACCACCCAGGAGACGAGGUGGAAGAGAUGCGAUUGGGCCCGGACCCGUCAUCAUCAAGGAGACAGGUGGCCAAGGAGGAAUCGGUCACUAAUGCGGUCGGCUAACUGUGUCAAGGACGUAGAACCCAAACCUGGUACAGUUCACCUGUGAGAGACCUGAGAGCACGAACGCAGAGAGGAACUGACCCACUAAACCAACUUACAACUCUACAGUCUGCACUCUUCUUGAAAUUAAAGCAGUGGGAGACUGAUGAGUCCACCUGGACUCCCUGGUGUGUGAGAUGUCCCUGUGAGAGUGAAACACACCGUCCAUUCCGCCUCACUAAGUGUGUGUUUGGAGUCAGAGGCACAAUCCACGCUGCUGUGCCCACAGAUGGUCACACUACAGGAGCAACAUUUUGUUCUGUCUCCCAAUGGUAUCUGAGUGCUUGGUGGUGGGGUCAGGCAGUUCAGAGUGACUGGGGAAGGAUGGGAUUGUGGAGAGCAGUCACAGAUAUCAGACUCUGCAUUUUCAGUGGCUGAUGAUAGCAGCUUAAAGGCUUAUACUGUAAUAGGAAUGCCUUGAGAUUGGUUAAUCAUCCUUUGAUUUGGACUUUGAUAUUUGUUGUGGAGUACUGUUGUGUGUGUGUGUGUGUUUAUAUGUGUGCAUAUAUACAUGUGUGUUUCUGAUUUGGUCAUUUCAGUAUUUUGAAUGUCUUUAUUCAAAAGUGUGGCUGUUAAGAUUUUUUUUUAUGUUAUAGAAAGAAAUCUCUUUCAGCAAGGCUGCAUAUAUUUAUUGACAAAUACAUUAAAACGGUAAUAUGUAAAAAUAUUUGUACAAUGUAAAAUGUAAAAACAGUAAAAAUUCUAAUAUGCUGAUUUGCUGUUCAAGAAACAUUUUGUAUAACCGUCACUGUUGAAAAUUUUUGGGGAUCAUUGUGACCAUUUAUUUCAGGUUAUUUAAAAAAAAAAAAAAUAGAAUAGAAAGUUCAAAAGAAUAGCAUUUAUUUGAAAUAGAAAUCAUUUGUAACCUUAAACAUAUCUUUACUAUUAUUUUUGAUACCCUAAAUGAAUAAACAGUUGUGUGUGUAUACAUAAAGUUAUAUGAGAAAUAUUUUUGUCAAAUUAUAUGCAAAAAUAAGUACAACAAAGGAAAUAAGCUAAUAAAUGAGUUAAUUGUACCUAAAAAUGGCAGUUUUCCAAUCUAUUCCUGUCAGCUCUACUUCAUUUCAGUUCAUCUGUAGGGAUUCAUUUUAUGUGUGUGUGUGUGACUUUUGAGGCCCCUCUGAUUAGCAUAUAAGUGUCCCGUCGGCUCGAUUGCUACUU